Molecule: unclassified non-coding RNA, 294 nt
Filed under: uncultured Glomeromycetes
Lineage: Eukaryota; Fungi; Glomeromycota; Glomeromycetes
Description: sequence contains ITS2
Source: RNAcentral
AACGCAAAUUGCACUCUCUGGUAACCCGGGGAGUAUGCCUGUUUGAGGGUCAGUGUUAAUAAAAAUCGGUGCGUUGCAAUUUUUGUGAUGUUCCGGAGUUUGAGUUAUCUUAUCUUCUGGGUUUAAGAGGCUUAAAAUUGACCUUCUUUGUGCAUUUUAGACGUACAUAAAUUUUUUUUUAUUCGUUUAUCUUAAUGCCAAAAUCUAUUAGAUGCGACCAUAUCGUGUGGUUCCGUGUCUAUAAAUUUUUCAUGAAUUGACCUCAAAUCAGGUAGGAACACCCGCUGAACUUAA